This 468-nucleotide ribosomal RNA is filed under the name uncultured bacterium. Its description in RNAcentral is "partial 16S ribosomal RNA". It matches the Rfam family "Bacterial small subunit ribosomal RNA", at positions 28 to 507 of the family's 1533-position model. The record is from RNAcentral.
GACGAACGCUGGCGGCGUGCUUAACACAUGCAAGUCGAACGGAAAGGCCCUGCUUUUGUGGGGUGCUCGAGUGGCGAACGGAUGAGUAACACGUGAGUAACCUGCCCUUGACUUUGGGAUAACUUCACGAAACUGGGGCUAAUACCGGAUAGGAGCUCCUGCUGCAUGGUGGGGGUUGGUAAGUUUCGGCGGUUGGGGAUGGACUCGCGGCUUGUCAGCUUGUUGGUGGGGUAGUGGCUUACCAAGGCUUUGACGGGUAGCCGGCCUGAGAGGGUGACCGGCCACAUUGGGACUGAGAUACGGCCCAGACUCCUACGGGAGGCAGCAGUGGGGAAUAUUGCGCAAUGGGCGGAAGCCUGAUGCAGCAACGCCGCGUGCGGGAUGACGGCCUUCGGGUUGUAAACCGCUUUCGCCUGGGACGAAGCGUGAGUGACGGUAAUGGGUAAAGAAGCACCGGCUAACUACGUG